RNAcentral lists this long non-coding RNA (409 nucleotides) under Triticum aestivum (bread wheat). RNAcentral describes it as "long non-coding RNA (TAES_LNC013884)". The record is from RNAcentral. Lineage: Eukaryota; Viridiplantae; Streptophyta; Magnoliopsida; Poales; Poaceae.
CCGGCGAGACCAUCACCUUCAAGAACAACGCCGGGUACCCGCACAACGUGGUGUUCGACGAGGACGCGGUGCCCUCCGGCGUCGACGUCUCCAAGAUCUCCCAGGAGGAGUACCUCAACGCCCCCGGGGAGACCUUCUCCGUCACGCUCACCGUCCCCGGCACCUACGGCUUCUACUGCGAGCCCCACGCCGGAGCCGGCAUGGUCGGCAAGGUCACCGUCAACUAAGCUGUCAUCUAGCUCUUGCGAAUUGUUGCGGGUCGGUUGAUCGAUCGGGCGUGUCAUGCAUGCAUAUUGAUUAAUUGUACGUACGUACGCUAUAUGUAUAUGUUUUCAACUAUAAGAUGAGAUGAGGCUCUUGAUGAUAAGUACGCACUCCUUCUUAGCUUUGAUUUGAUUGAUGAUCUAUG